Molecule: non-coding RNA, 459 nt
Filed under: Pan troglodytes (chimpanzee)
Lineage: Eukaryota; Metazoa; Chordata; Mammalia; Primates; Hominidae
Source: RNAcentral
UGGGGAAGGCAGCAGCUCUGGGGUCUGCAGGGGGGCACCUCAUGGUUCCCAACUCUCCUAGAAGCAAAAAGGGAUUCAAAGAGGCCCACUUGAUCACCUGUCAGGCUGCAUAGCAGUGAGGCUUCCUCCUUUACACCGAUGUCGGGGAAAAGAAAACUACCUGGCAAGUUAGGAUACAGCAGGAACGGUCUCCAAGACAGCCAUUGAAAAUGCCCCCAAAUGCUGGAGACCUCAGCUCCUGCACAAAGACAAAACCAUAGAGGAAAGCACUCAGAAAGGAGCAGGAUGAGGGAAUGCAAAGAAAAGGCAAAUGAGGGAAGCGUUGAAAGCCUUGAUACAAUGGCCACAAAGAAGAGCUCUUCACAAUCGAAGCUUGUUAUGUUUGCUUUGCCAUCAUCCACCAUAAAGUCUGGAAUACAACCUUCUUCCCUUUUCAGUAAACAUCUACUGAGUAAAUCA